CGGCAUUAUUCGAUAUUGAGGCGUAUAUGUGUCAUAUAAUCAUAACGUAAGGGAAAAUAAUGAUAUUACCUUACUAUUAGUGUCGUCCAAAACUGGUGCCAGAAGACUCGGUAAGGCCAGAGACGCAAACGUUAGUCGUCUUAAUCAGGCGUAAAGGGUUUGUAGGCUGCUUUGAAAGUUUUUUUGUUUAUCAUAGCCUUAUAAACUUAAAAUGAAUUAAAGCUAGAAUCAAAUAGAGGUUAAUUGAAUAAUACUUAGAGGAGGGCUUAUAUCCGGAGAUCCUAAGGGGAAUACUCGAGGCGAAAGCUUUUUAUCCACUACUGAUUGACGCUGAGAAACGAAGGUGAGGAUAGGAAAUAGGAUUAGAUACCCAGAUACCCCUCUCUGUCAACGAUGAAUGGUAGUUAUUAAGAGCAAAGCUCCUAGUUACGAUGUUAACACGAUAACCAUUCCGCCUUGUGAGUACGACUGCAAAGUUGAAAACAAAAAAAUUAGUCGGUCUCGGAGCAAACGAAGUGAAGCAUGUUAUUUAAUUCAAUAAUUCCGCA
RNAcentral lists this ribosomal RNA (548 nucleotides) under Panellus crassiporus. RNAcentral's name for it is "SSU rRNA". It matches the Rfam family "Bacterial small subunit ribosomal RNA", at positions 392 to 965 of the family's 1533-position model. Lineage: Eukaryota; Fungi; Basidiomycota; Agaricomycetes; Agaricales; Mycenaceae. The record is from RNAcentral.